GAUGAACGCUGGCGGCGUGCCUAAUACAUGCAAGUCGAGCGAACAGACGAGGAACUUGCUCCUCUGACGUUAGCGGCGGACGGGUGAGUAACACGUGGAUAACCUACCUAUAAGACUGGGAUAACUUCGGGAAACCGGAGCUAAUACCGGAUAAUAUAUUGAACCGCAUGGUUCAAUAGUGAAAGACGGUUUUGCUGUCACUUAUAGAUGGAUCCGCGCCGCAUUAGCUAGUUGGUAAGGUAACGGCUUACCAAGGCGACGAUGCGUAGCCGACCUGAGAGGGUGAUCGGCCACACUGGAACUGAGACACGGUCCAGACUCCUACGGGAGGCAGCAGUAGGGAAUCUUCCGCAAUGGGCGAAAGCCUGACGGAGCAACGCCGCGUGAGUGAUGAAGGUCUUCGGAUCGUAAAACUCUGUUAUUAGGGAAGAGCAAAUGUGUAAGUAACUAUGCACGUCUUGACGGUACCUAAUCAGAAAGCCACGGCUAACUACGUG
RNAcentral lists this ribosomal RNA (497 nucleotides) under uncultured bacterium. RNAcentral describes it as "partial 16S ribosomal RNA". It matches the Rfam family "Bacterial small subunit ribosomal RNA", at positions 28 to 507 of the family's 1533-position model. The record is from RNAcentral.